UACGGAGGGUGCAAGCGUUACCCGGAAUCACUGGGCGUAAAGGGCAUGUAGGCGGCUAUUUAAGUCUGGAUUUAAAGACCGAGGCUCAACCUCGGGAAUGGUCUGGAUACUGGAUGGCUGGAGGACUGGAGGGGAGAGUGGAAUUCUCGGUGUAGCGGUGGAAUGCGUAGAUACCGAGAGGAACACCAGUGGCGAAGGCGGCUCUCUGGACAGUGCGUGACGCUGAGGUGCGAAAGUGUGGGGAGCAAACCGG
RNAcentral lists this ribosomal RNA (253 nucleotides) under uncultured bacterium. Its description in RNAcentral is "partial 16S ribosomal RNA". It matches the Rfam family "Bacterial small subunit ribosomal RNA", at positions 524 to 776 of the family's 1533-position model. The record is from RNAcentral.